GUGCCAGCAGCCGCGGUAAUACGGAGGGUGCAAGCGUUAUUCGGAAUGACUGGGCGUAAAGCGCACGCAGGCGGAUAAGUAAGUCAGAUGUGAAAGCCCCGGGCUUAACCUGGGAAUUGCAUUUGAAACUGCUUGUCUAGAGUAUGUCAGAGGAAGGCGGAACUUCCAGUGUAGCAGUGAAAUGCGUAGAUAUUGGAAAGAACACCGAUGGCGAAGGCAGCCUUCUGGGGCAAUACUGACGCUCAUGUGCGAAAGCGU
RNAcentral lists this ribosomal RNA (258 nucleotides) under uncultured Suttonella sp. RNAcentral describes it as "partial 16S ribosomal RNA". It matches the Rfam family "Bacterial small subunit ribosomal RNA", at positions 505 to 762 of the family's 1533-position model. The record is from RNAcentral. Lineage: Bacteria; Pseudomonadati; Pseudomonadota; Gammaproteobacteria; Cardiobacteriales; Cardiobacteriaceae.